GAAGUCAGCUUUUUGGAAGGAAGAAAAGUGAGAUUCAGUCUCUUAUGGCUGCUGUCACCAUAUAAUAUGAGGGUCAGGAGCGGGGGAUGGAAUGCACACCAAGAAGCAGGAGGAUCUGACUGUCCAGAGGAUGAAGAAUCCAGGUGCCUCUCUGACUGUGGAGAAGGAGAGAAAAUCUUGACAUCAAUUGUCUCUGGUCCCAGGUGAGCCCCAGUCCCACCACAACCCUGCCCUUGGUGUCUGGCAUCCCAAUAUCUUCAUCAUAAGCUUUGCUUUGCAGAGUUUGAGGUGAGUUUGUAUAAUUUGAAAACCAGAGUUCUAACUGAUGCAUGUAUUUAACAAAUAAAAUACUAUGAUCUUGAUUUCACAGGUAUUUUUAGACUUGGGGGAGCCAGGGCAGCCAUGGGCGAUGUGCACUCCUGCAGGGACAUGCGGGGCAAUUCAUCCACUCUUGACUGCUGCAGUUUACAGGUGCUUCCUGUGUGGCCUGCCAUUUGUACUGAAUGGUCACACUGAAAAAAGUGGAGGAUUCCUAAAUGUUCUCACAUGUAAUCUCAUCUCUCAACUGCGCUGCUGCCAAGUUACUGGAAGAAAGAGCGGAUGCUAUAAAUGGAAGACACGUUGCUGCGCACUGUGUACCAAAUGAACUACGAGGGCUCGAUGGUCAUCGAUGUGUGUCUCCAAGGGGAUUUGUGAGUCGUAAUGAGAGGGUGUGCCUCAGUACCUAAAAGGGCUUUUUGAGACAGUUAGUUGUUAGUUGUUACCUAUUACCUUAUGAUACUGAGCCAAAUGCUUGCAUUAUUAAUUCUUGACUCUAUUAUCUGAAGGUUUGAUGACAUUUCAAUACUCUCCAAAGGUAAUUUUGUAGCCAAUACUGAGUAAUUGAGGGGCUGUACUUUACGGAUUCCAAUUUCUUUCUCUUUCUUGUUUCCCUCUCCAACUGCUCACCCUUUGUCCAAGGCAUUGCAUCACAUCACUCCCAUAGGAGGUGUGCUGAGAGCAGGCAGAAAAAUCUCAACUCCAAAUGGCCUCUCUUCUUCAGUGGCUAUCCGAAACGAUCUGAAAGGAUAUGGACACCUUUACUCAUGUUGCUCCUUCUGUACUCUUCCUCCUGCCAUCACCUACUCUUCUCCAUGCCUACCUGCUGCACGUGCACAGACAUACUCACUCACUCCUUGGCAAUGUACAGCUGAGGGUAGGUUAUAGUUAUCCAGCAUUCCUGCAUAAGAAAAUAGAAAAAUUUUUUAGAAGAACAUACUAUUAAUAUAA
This is a non-coding RNA of Microcebus murinus (gray mouse lemur), 1269 nucleotides long. The record is from RefSeq and is a predicted model, not a curated record. Lineage: Eukaryota; Metazoa; Chordata; Mammalia; Primates; Cheirogaleidae.